CUAUCCUCAUGGGUUCUAAUUUGCCUUCUGUCUCUGGUUUUCCUUAUUAAAAGAAAGAUAAAAGUUGGAAAAGGAAACAAGCAGCUUCCUCCAGGCCCUCCUAAGCUUCCAAUAAUAGGCAACCUGCAUCAACUUGGACGACAACCUCACCGUUCUUUGUGUCAAUUUUCCAAGAGAUAUGGUGUUGUACCUACUGUUGUGAUAUCCUCAGCUGAGGCAGCAGAAGAAGUCUUGAAGAUUCAUGAUAUUCAUUGUUGCAGUAGACCUGCUUUAGCUGGUGCAAGAAAACUUUCAUACAAUUCCUCAGACAUAUCUUUUUCACCAUAUGGCGAAUAUUGGAGACACAUCAGAAAAAUCAGUGUUAUAGAGCUUUUCAGCAUCAAAAGGGUGCAGUCUUUUCGCUUCAUCCGGGAAGAAGAAGUUACUUCACUCAUCGAUUCAAUCUCUCGAGCAUCAGCUUCUGCAACUCCUAUUUCUCUGACUCAGAAUUUGAUGACUCUUCUUGCAAAUAUAGCAUUUAGAAUGGCUUUCGCGACAAACUUUGAGGCAACUGCUUUUGCUAAGGAUAGAUUUAAGAUAUUAAUUGAUGAUGCUGUGACCUUGCUGGGAAGCUUCUCCGCAAGUGAUUAUUUUCAUCGUGUAGGUUGGAUUAUUGACAGAAUUACCGGUUAUCAUGCCAGGUCAGAGCGAGUUUUCCAAGAAUUGAACACAUUCUACGAGCAGAUAAUUGAUGAGCACCUGAAACUUGGUGGGAAGCUAAACAAAGGACACGAAGACAUUGUUGAUGUGCUACUCAGAAUAGAGAGGGAUCAAGCUGAAAUUGGUUCACUUCAGCUUACGAAAGAUCGUAUUAAGGCAGUUCUCAUGGUAUGCUGUCUGUACUCUCCUCAACUUAUGAAACUUAAUUUUAUAUCAUUUGUCUUACCCUUUAGGUUUUGUAUAUAUAUAAGUUAUUUUUGUUUUUCGUUAGCCCUCUUCACGUGUUUGGACAUCAGGCCAGCUAUGUUUGCCAAACCUGGCCUGAUAACACUAGGUGAAGUUGAGCUCUGACGGUGUUUUAAACAGUUCUAUUUUAUCUUGAUGUCUGCUUUGUUUUGCUUGUGAUUUUCUUGAAUUAGGAUUUAUUAUUGGCUGGAUUACAACUGUUUCUGAUACCCUAGUAUGGGCUAUGGCUGAGCUUGCUAGGAAACCAAGAACGAUGGAAAAAGCUCAAGAAGAAGUUAGAAAUUUAAUAGGAAACAAAAGGAGAGUUAGAAAAAGUGACAUUCACAAGCUGCAUUAUCUCAAAAUGGUAAUAAAAGAAACUCUUAGAUUACACCCUCCUCUUCCACUGCUAGUACCAGGAGAAACCAUGUCGAAAUUUAAAAUCAACGGCUAUGAAAUUUAUCCGAAAAUACUGAUCCAAGUCAAUGUUUGGGCAAUUGGACGAGACCCUAACUACUGGAAGAACCCAGAAGAAUUCUUACAUGAAAGAUUUAUGGAUAGCUCAAUUGACUUUAAAGAACAGAAUUUCGAGUUCUUACCAUUUGGGGGUGGUAGAAGAACUUGUCCUGCACAAUACAUGGGGACUAUAUCAUUGGAGCUUGUACUUGCAAAUUUGCUAUAUUUUUUCGAUUGGAAGCUACCAAAUGAUGUUACAGAUAUCAACAUGGAAGAGAGAGAUGGUCCUAGUCUUACUGUAUCAAAAAUGGAAGAUCUCAAACUUGUACCUCUCAAUUACAUGGAGUUUUAGUGGUAGUCAUCCUUAGAUGAUAAGAUGAUAGGAUAUGUGUGAUUGUGAUUACAGUACUUAGGCUGCCUUUCCUUGUCGCAACAAAUGAAAUGUAUUUUGUUGGGAGACGUGGUAGGUAAAUACAAAAUAUUAGUAAAUAUUAAUUGUCAUAAUUUUUUACAUUAUUUCAAUUAAAUAAGUGUUAUUUAAUUGAACAAUAAUUUACAUAGUAGUUUAUGGUCUAAUCACACACAAGUAUAUUCAAACAUUAAAAUUAAAAGUUAUGGUCACUAUGGAUGAGAAAACAAUUACGGUAACUAACAUUUUGAAAUUAUUUGAUUUAAACACUUCAAAGUUAAUAUAAUAAAAUUUAGAUAUUAAGAAUUUUUCAAAAAAGUAAUUUAAAGAUUAAGAAGCAAGUAAUUGGUUAAAAAAAAAUUAAAAGCAUGAUGAAUAACAUUAGAUAAGACUCGAUUCUAUUUUUUUUACUUUAAAAUAAUUGUAUAUUUAUCCGUAAGUCUUUAGUUAAUUUUUAAGUAAGAGUAUUUAUAUUGCACUAUUUAUAUAUCAAAUCUUUUUAUUUAAAAAAAAUUAUCGCAUAAAAUGAAAUUCUAAAGUAAAGUGAAUUCUAUUGUUUAUUUUGAUUUUAUUAAAUAUAUUAGAAUUUUGAUACAUUAUUAGAAUUUUUAAUUAUAUUUUUUUUAUUAGUAAAAACUUAGAAAGAAAAUAUAAAAUUAUUAAUAAAAUAUAAAGAGUUGAUUAAAUUUAAAUAUAAAAUAGAGAAUUGAAUUGUCACAUUUAAAGAGUUCAUUGGAGCCACUUGGGACCAACAGUAAUACAUCUUUCCCCCAAUCUAUAGAGGUUUCUAUGUGAAAUUCCUUGUCGUAACCAAACUUGCUGUUCAUGCCAAUCAACAACUCACUUCAAUGCACUAAGGCCUAUUUGGCGUUAAAAAAAUAGGUUUAUUUUCCUUUUUUAAUUUGAUGUAAUUCGUAGCUUUGGCCCCUCUUUGUGGUUCUACUGCUCAUACAGUUCAUGCUUGCUGCGAUUUCCGCUAUGGCUUGGAUUCUUGGCACUUAACAAAAAGAGAAAGAAAAAACUAUCAAUAUCAUACAGAGUUAUGGCUGCUAACACAAACUAAAGAACAGUUAGAGUACAACUCUUUAUUUACCACGUUCAACGGUUUCUUGGAGAUGUCUUCUUCCUUCAUACAAUCAACCUUAUCUCCAAAUCCCUCAAGAAUAGCUGAAUCGAUCUUGCAUAUGAUGUCACUAAUUUUGAUUGUAUUCACAAAUAUCAAAUCAGCAAUCAUCAUCCCAUGUCACUAAUUUUGAUUGUAUUCAAAGAUCAUCAUCUCGUGACGACUGAUGUGUUGUAAAUUUAUAGCCAUAGGUAAGAUAUAAGUGAUAUACUUAUCGUAUCACUUAUUCUUUUACCCGUAAAUUUAUAAUUUUGAAAGAGAGAUUUAUUUUAGCAAAAGCUAAAGCUAAAGCUACAAUGUCUAUGAAUCCGCUAUCCUUAUGGGUUCUAAUUUUCCUUCUGUCUCUGGUUUUCCUUAUUAAAAGAAAGAUAGAAGUUGGAAAAGGAAACAAGCAGCUUCCUCCAGGCCCUCCUAAGCUUCCAAUAAUAGGCAACCUGCAUCAACUUGGACGACAACCUCACCGUUCUUUGUGGCAACUUUCCAAGAGAUAUGGUCCUGUCAUGUUUCUCCAAUAUGGUGCUGUACCUACUGUCGUGAUAUCCUCAGCCGAGGCAGCAG
This 3470-nucleotide long non-coding RNA is filed under the name Ricinus communis (castor bean). Its description in RNAcentral is "long non-coding RNA (RCOM_LNC002510)". The record is from RNAcentral. Lineage: Eukaryota; Viridiplantae; Streptophyta; Magnoliopsida; Malpighiales; Euphorbiaceae.